Molecule: unclassified non-coding RNA, 247 nt
Filed under: Glomus sp.
Lineage: Eukaryota; Fungi; Glomeromycota; Glomeromycetes; Glomerales; Glomeraceae
Description: partial contains 5.8S ribosomal RNA and internal transcribed spacer 2
Source: RNAcentral
GUGAAUCAUCAAAUUUUUGAACGCAAAUUGCACUCUCCUGGGAGAGGAUGCGUGUUUGAGGGUCAGCGUAUAAAAAUCGACAUCGUUGAAGUGUCGAGGGGGCGGUCGUGGGAAAUUGGGUCAUCUUAAAUACUUUUGAUUUAAGCGACUUAAAAUUUUGUGCUGGUUCUAUGAACGGUUCUAAGAUAUAUUUAUUUACACGUUUAAGGUAUCGAUUUUUACUAGGCGUGUGCAUGAUAUCGGUACG